Molecule: ribosomal RNA, 776 nt
Filed under: uncultured Neocallimastigales
Lineage: Eukaryota; Fungi; Neocallimastigomycota; Neocallimastigomycetes; Neocallimastigales
Description: partial large subunit ribosomal RNA
Rfam family: Eukaryotic large subunit ribosomal RNA
Source: RNAcentral
UAUGUGAUCGUCUCUCGCAUAUCAAUAAGCGGAGGAAAAGAAACUAACAAGGAUUCCCUUAGUAACGGCGAGUGAAGCGGGAAGAGCUCAAAUUUGAAAUCUUCAAGGUUUUACCUUGACGAAUUGUAGUUUAAAGAAGUGUUUUCUGUUGAAGUUUUGGUAAAAGUUCUUUGGAAUAGGACAUCAUAGAGGGUGAGAAUCCCGUAUUUGACCAUUAUUUUCAGCUGUGUGAUACACUUUCAAAGAGUCGGAUUGUUUGGGAAUGCAGUCCAAAAUGGGUGGUAAAUUUCAUCUAAAGCUAAAUAUUGGCGAGAGACCGAUAGCGAACAAGUACCGUGAGGGAAAGAUGAAAAGAACUUUGAAAAGAGAGUUAAACAGUACGUGAAAUUGUCAAAAGGGAAGCGUUUGACACCAGUGUUGUUUUCCUCGAAAAUCAAUUAAAAAGAGUUAGAUUUUGUUGUGUAUUGACCUUAACAGCUUGCAUUUCAAUUUUCUUGCUUUUUUUAAUGCACUUUUCGUUUAACAAGUCAACAUCAGUUUCUUUUGUUGUAAAAAGGUCAUUGGAAGGUGGCUAUUCUUUCCGGAGAAAGUGUUUAUAGCCUUUGACUCCUGCAAUCGGAGAGACUGAGGUCUGCAGCGUAGAUCCUUCGGGGUUAGAUACAUUUGUGCUAAGUUAUAGCUUUUUAUAGACAACUUGUUGACUAUGAUUAGUCUUGUAGCUUACUCGCUUAUGCUAUUUUACCUACGCUUAGGAUGUUGAAGAUGUAGCACAUCAU